CCCAGGUCAGGCGGGGCUACCCGCUGAAUUUAAGCAUAUCAAUAAGCAGGAGAAA
Molecule: ribosomal RNA, 55 nt
Filed under: Saponaria griffithiana
Lineage: Eukaryota; Viridiplantae; Streptophyta; Magnoliopsida; Caryophyllales; Caryophyllaceae
Description: partial 28S ribosomal RNA
Source: RNAcentral